GAUCAUGGCUCAGGAUGAACGCUAGCUACAGGCUUAACACAUGCAAGUCGAGGGGCAUGAGUUUGGUUUGCUUGCAAACCAAAGCUGGCGACCGGCGCACGGGUGAGUAACACGUAUCCGACCUGCCUCAUACUCGGGGAUAGCCUUUCGAAAGAAAGAUUAAUAUCCGAUAGCAUAUAUUUCCCGCAUGGGUUUUAUAUUAAAGAAAUUCGGUAUGAGAUGGGGAUGCGUUCCAUUAGUUUG
Molecule: ribosomal RNA, 243 nt
Filed under: uncultured bacterium
Lineage: Bacteria
Description: partial 16S ribosomal RNA
Rfam family: Bacterial small subunit ribosomal RNA
Source: RNAcentral